Molecule: long non-coding RNA, 903 nt
Filed under: Cavia porcellus (domestic guinea pig)
Lineage: Eukaryota; Metazoa; Chordata; Mammalia; Rodentia; Caviidae
Description: lncRNA (ENSCPOG00000038005.1)
Source: RNAcentral
UCCCUUUUCCUUCCCCCCUCCCCCGUGCAGUUCUGCCCUAGUUUUUUAGGUGCCCCUGGCCCAGCUUACCCUGCCAGAGCCGCCCUAGGGGUGCCAGCGGGACCCCUGUGGCCUGGACACCGCAGUUGCUGACAGCCAGUAACAGAAACAAAACUGAAACUAAUUGAAGUUGUGGUGCAACUUCCGUCCCUGCCGGGGACACGGAGCGCGGGCGCAGGCCCCGCCCCUUCCCCACCCGGCAGGGUCUCUCCCCAGCUCCCCGGGCCGCUCGGUGUGUGCGCGUGUGCAUGCCUGUGUGUCUGUGUGUCUGUGUGUCUGUCGCAAACAAGGCACCGCCUGAGGAUCUGUUCUAGCUCUGCGGUGAUUCAGGGAUCCUGAAGCCAGGCCUGCAGCUAGCGGACACCUCGGCGAGGCCCUGCGUUGGGUAAUCCUUGCUGAGCCAUCAGGCAGGGCGGAAAGGGAGCCCGCAGCUGAAGGAAAAGAUCUCUUGUAGCAACAGAGCAAGGGGUAAGCUGUGUGACAGAGACAUAAUUACCCAAGGUCACUGCAAGUGCUACAGACACAGAAGAGGGAGAGGCCCUUCUCCUAGGAAGGGUGUGGCCUCAGUCAGGAAUACUGCCCCAGAGGCAGCAACUGAAACCCCACCCAAUGCCCUCCCCCACACACAGAGCCACUGCUUUAGGCAGUUGCAGUGCUUGCCAGACCCGAGGAGACAGCUUCCCCGGGAGAUGGGAACGCUCUCCCCUCAACUACAGGUGUCCCUGUCCCCAGCCGCCUGCACUCAGCAUCGACCAGAUUGAUUUCAGGUGAGCACUCCCCGGGGAACUUUUGGCACUGGGCAGCCCCAGUCGAAUGUUCUCCCCGUCUGCGUGGGUCUGUGCAUUUUCACGUCCUUAGGACCGC